RNAcentral lists this ribosomal RNA (253 nucleotides) under uncultured bacterium. RNAcentral describes it as "partial 16S ribosomal RNA". It matches the Rfam family "Bacterial small subunit ribosomal RNA", at positions 524 to 776 of the family's 1533-position model. The record is from RNAcentral.
UACGUAGGUGGCAAGCGUUGUCCGGAAUUAUUGGGCGUAAAGCGCGCGCAGGCGGUCCUUUAAGUCUGAUGUGAAAGCCCACGGCUCAACCGUGGAGGGUCAUUGGAAACUGGGGGACUUGAGUACAGAAGAGAAGAGUGGAAUUCCACGUGUAGCGGUGAAAUGCGUAGAGAUGUGGAGGAACACCAGUGGCGAAGGCGACUCACUGGCCCGAUACUGACGCUGAGGCGCGAAAGCGUGGGGAGCAAACAGG